Molecule: ribosomal RNA, 431 nt
Filed under: uncultured Bifidobacterium sp.
Lineage: Bacteria; Bacillati; Actinomycetota; Actinomycetes; Bifidobacteriales; Bifidobacteriaceae
Description: bacterial SSU rRNA
Rfam family: Bacterial small subunit ribosomal RNA
Source: RNAcentral
CUCCAGUUGGAUGCAUGUCCUUCUGGGAAAGAUUCUAUCGGUAUGGGAUGGGGUCGCGUCCUAUCAGCUUGAUGGCGGGGUAACGGCCCACCAUGGCUUCGACGGGUAGCCGGCCUGAGAGGGCGACCGGCCACAUUGGGACUGAGAUACGGCCCAGACUCCUACGGGAGGCAGCAGUGGGGAAUAUUGCACAAUGGGCGCAAGCCUGAUGCAGCGACGCCGCGUGCGGGAUGACGGCCUUCGGGUUGUAAACCGCUUUUGACUGGGAGCAAGCCCUUCGGGGUGAGUGUACCUUUCGAAUAAGCACCGGCUAACUACGUGCCAGCAGCCGCGGUAAUACGUAGGGUGCAAGCGUUAUCCGGAAUUAUUGGGCGUAAAGGGCUCGUAGGCGGUUCGUCGCGUCCGGUGUGAAAGUCCAUCGCUUAACGGUG